Molecule: non-coding RNA, 368 nt
Organism: Triticum urartu
Lineage: Eukaryota; Viridiplantae; Streptophyta; Magnoliopsida; Poales; Poaceae
Source: RefSeq, a predicted model, not a curated record
UUCCUCCAUGACACCCCGAUCCGGGCGGCGCCAGCAGCGAUGGCGAUCGACAAUCGAGUGUGCCUAACUCUGCAUCUAUAACUGGCCUGUCUUCUUUGGACGGGUGCAGGUGCUCUACUACGCGCUACUCCGGACGGGUCACCUGGACAGAUGUUCUGGAACCAUCGUGGUCUGCGUCACUACUGGGGCGUGUGUAUCCGUGGUCAGCACACCAAGACUACCGGCAGGAGAGGGAAGACUGUUGGUGUCUCCAAGAAGCGAUAAACUGCUUCACAAAGAUCCCCGCAUAGCUUCACUACUACUGUGUUGGUCCAUUUCCAGAAUCUUAAGGAGUGUUCUUAUUUAGACGAUUACCUUGGAUGAUGCUU